UCCCUGGGGGACGAGUGGUUAGGCCUUGGCGCUCUCGCCGCCACAGCCCAGGUUCGAUUCCCGGCCAGGGAA
RNAcentral lists this transfer RNA (72 nucleotides) under Pangasianodon hypophthalmus (striped catfish). It matches the Rfam family "tRNA". Rfam says of the family: Transfer RNA (tRNA) molecules are approximately 80 nucleotides in length. Their secondary structure includes four short double-helical elements and three loops (D, anti-codon, and T loops). The record is from Rfam by way of RNAcentral. Lineage: Eukaryota; Metazoa; Chordata; Actinopteri; Siluriformes; Pangasiidae.